RNAcentral lists this ribosomal RNA (164 nucleotides) under uncultured bacterium. RNAcentral describes it as "partial 16S rRNA". It matches the Rfam family "Bacterial small subunit ribosomal RNA", at positions 355 to 511 of the family's 1533-position model. The record is from RNAcentral.
UAGGGAAUCUUCCACAAUGGACGCAAGUCUGAUGGAGCAACGCCGCGUGAGUGAAGAAGGUUUUCGGAUCGUAAAGCUCUGUUGUUGGUGAAGAAGGAUAGAGGCAGUAACUGGUCUUUAUUUGACGGUAAUCAACCAGAAAGUCACGGCUAACUACGGGCCAG